CGCCCCGCCCUUUCCGGAGCUCUUUGGAAAGCUCCGCGCUGCGGCCUCCCGGGGACCAAGAACAGACCCCGCCCUACUGACAAUCUGCUGCUCCCCGGGGGUGCUUCCGCCACCCUACGAAGGGCCACUCGCCGCCCGUGUUGCCUCUGUCUCUUCGGAAACAUUCUCCCGGCAAACAACCCCCCGCCCUCAAGGCGCCGCUCGGACCUCGGGCUCCUGCAAGACCAAGGGGAUCACGGUAGAGUCUCCCCGAGUGCAGUAGAACAGCACCCCCGUGUGGCCCUGUCCUCCAGAACCCGCGGAAUGGCCGGAUUCGUGGGCUGCAGCAGAGAUCCGCCAGACCUAUGCUAAGAGACGCUGAAGACCAGAGCUGCCAUGCAAGAACUUUGACUGCCCUGAGGCCACCACGAUUAGAGGAAGCCCAAACCAGCCCACAGGGAGAGACCACAUGGAGAAGCCUUGAAGAAGGUUACUGCUUUACUACCCAUCAGGAGGAAGGAAAAAUUUCUUCUUGCCCAGCAACGGUCCAGCCACUAAAAGGAGACUGUUACAGCUCAGCCAAAGAAAAGCGAUUAAACUUAAAGCUCCCAGUUUCUUCCACCGGACUCGGUUUAUAACAGACCCUCCCAAACUCUCCCUUCUCCUCUAUAAAAGAAUGUGCCUCUCCUUUGUUCUCCCCACUUGCUUGUGCUUUACCAUAGAGUCCAUGUCCCAAAUUGUAAUUCUCUGCUAUUCCCAAAUAAACCCAUUU
Molecule: non-coding RNA, 751 nt
Organism: Delphinapterus leucas (beluga whale)
Lineage: Eukaryota; Metazoa; Chordata; Mammalia; Artiodactyla; Monodontidae
Source: RefSeq, a predicted model, not a curated record